GUGGGGAAUUUUGGACAAUGGGCGCAAGCCUGAUCCAGCAAUGCCGCGUGCAGGAAGAAGGCCUUCGGGUUGUAAACUGCUUUUGUACGGAACGAAACGGUCCGGGUUAAUACCCUGGGCUAAUGACGGUACCGUAAGAAUAAGCACCGGCUAACUACGUGCCAGCAGCCGCGGUAAUACGUAGGGUGCAAGCGUUAAUCGGAAUUACUGGGCGUAAAGCGUGCGCAGGCGGUUUUGUAAGACAGGCGUGAAAUCCCGGGCUCAACCUGGGAAUUGCGCUUGUGACUGCAAGGCUGGAGUGCGGCAGAGGGGGAUGGAAUUCCGCGUGUAGCAGUGAAAUGCGUAGAUAUGCGGAGGAACACCGAUGGCGAAGGCAAUCCCCUGGGCCUGCACUGACGCUCAUGCACGAAAGCGUGGGGAGCAAACAGGAUUAGAUACCCUGGUAGUCC
RNAcentral lists this ribosomal RNA (449 nucleotides) under uncultured bacterium. RNAcentral's name for it is "partial 16S ribosomal RNA". It matches the Rfam family "Bacterial small subunit ribosomal RNA", at positions 354 to 796 of the family's 1533-position model. The record is from RNAcentral.